GACAGCAGCCGCCACGGUAAUACGUAGGGUGCGAGCGUUAAUCGGAAUUACUGGGCGUAAAGCGUGCGCAGGCGGUUGUGUAAGACAGGUGUGAAAUCCCCGGGCUUAACCUGGGAACUGCGCUUGUGACUGCACAGCUAGAGUAUGGCAGAGGGGGGUGGAAUUCCACGUGUAGCGGUGAAAUGCGUAGAGACGUGGAGGAAUACCGAAGGCGAAGGCAGCCCCUUGGGAAAGUACUGACGCUCAUGUGCGAAAGCGUGGGGAGCAAACAGGAUUAGAUACCCCCGUAGUCCCUGUCUCUUAUAC
RNAcentral lists this ribosomal RNA (306 nucleotides) under uncultured bacterium. RNAcentral's name for it is "partial 16S ribosomal RNA". It matches the Rfam family "Bacterial small subunit ribosomal RNA", at positions 507 to 807 of the family's 1533-position model. The record is from RNAcentral.